RNAcentral lists this ribosomal RNA (272 nucleotides) under uncultured Alphaproteobacteria bacterium. Its description in RNAcentral is "partial 16S ribosomal RNA". It matches the Rfam family "Bacterial small subunit ribosomal RNA", at positions 9 to 308 of the family's 1533-position model. The record is from RNAcentral. Lineage: Bacteria; Pseudomonadati; Pseudomonadota; Alphaproteobacteria.
GAGUUUGAUCAUGGCUCAGAACGUACGCUGGCGGCACGCCUUAUACAUGCAAGUCGAACGAAGCAGCAAUACUUAGUGGCAGACGGGUGAGUAACAUGUGGGUAUCUUCCCUUUGGCCUGGAAUAACACGAGGAAACUUGUGCUAAUACCGGAUAAGUCUUUACGGAGAAAGCUGUAUGCACCAUUGGAUGAGCCUGCACUAGAUUAGUUUGUUGGUGGGGUAAUGGCCUACCAAGACUUUGAUCUAUAGCUGAUUUGAGAGGAUGAUCAGC